GGGUGCGAUCAUACCAGCACUA
RNAcentral lists this ribosomal RNA (22 nucleotides) under Beta vulgaris subsp. maritima. The record is from RNAcentral. Lineage: Eukaryota; Viridiplantae; Streptophyta; Magnoliopsida; Caryophyllales; Amaranthaceae.